GUGCCAGCAGCCGCGGUAAUACGUAGGUGGCAAGCGUUGUCCGGAUUUAUUGGGCGUAAAGCGAGCGCAGGCGGUUUCUUAAGUCUGAUGUGAAAGCCCCCGGCUCAACCGGGGAGGGUCAUUGGAAACUGGGAGACUUGAGUGCAGAAGAGGAGAGUGGAAUUCCAUGUGUAGCGGUGAAAUGCGUAGAUAUAUGGAGGAACACCAGUGGCGAAGGCGGCUCUCUGGUCUGUAACUGACGCUGAGGCUCGAAAGCGUGGGGAGCGAACAGGAUUAGAUACCCUGGUAGUCCACGCCGUAAACGAUGAGUGCUAAGUGUUGGAGGGUUUCCGCCCUUCAGUGCUGCAGCAAACGCAUUAAGCACUCCGCCUGGGGAGUACGACCGCAAGGUUGAAACUCAAAGGAAUUGACGGGGGCCCGCACAAGCGGUGGAGCAUGUGGUUUAAUUCGAAGCAACGCGAAGAACCUUACCAGGUCUUGACAUCCUUUGACCACUCUAGAGAUAGAGCUUCCCCUUCGGGGGCAAAGUGACAGGUGGUGCAUGGUUGUCGUCAGCUCGUGUCGUGAGAUGUUGGGUUAAGUCCCGCAACGAGCGCAACCCUUAUUGUUAGUUGCCAUCAUUUAGUUGGGCACUCUAGCGAGACUGCCGGUGACAAACCGGAGGAAGGUGGGGAUGACGUCAAAUCAUCAUGCCCCUUAUGACCUGGGCUACACACGUGCUACA
Molecule: ribosomal RNA, 724 nt
Filed under: uncultured bacterium
Lineage: Bacteria
Description: bacterial SSU rRNA
Rfam family: Bacterial small subunit ribosomal RNA
Source: RNAcentral